CCCUUAGAUGUCCUGGGCCGCACGCGCGCUACACUGAGUGUCUGAGAUACGAGUCUGCCUGGUCCGGCAAGGUCUAGGUAAUCGCUAAAAGACACAUCAUGCUUGGGAUAGAUUAUUGCAAAUAUUAAGCUUGAACGAGGAAUUCCUAGUAAGCGCAAGUCAACAGCUUGCGUUGAUUACGUCCCUGCCCUUUGUACACACCGCCCGUCGCUACUACUGAUUGGAUGUUUAAGCGAGGUUCUCGAACUGCUAGCGACUUAGCUUCGGUGAGGUCGCAGUGUGGGAAGUGAACCUAGCUUUGGUGUCUAGAGGAAGUAAAAGUCGUAACA
This 329-nucleotide ribosomal RNA is filed under the name uncultured eukaryote. Its description in RNAcentral is "partial 18S ribosomal RNA". It matches the Rfam family "Eukaryotic small subunit ribosomal RNA", at positions 1470 to 1796 of the family's 1831-position model. The record is from RNAcentral.